Molecule: ribosomal RNA, 618 nt
Filed under: Bacillus sp. S34
Lineage: Bacteria; Bacillati; Bacillota; Bacilli; Caryophanales; Bacillaceae
Description: partial 23S ribosomal RNA
Rfam family: Bacterial large subunit ribosomal RNA
Source: RNAcentral
GAGUAGUGGCGAGCGAAAGCGGAUGAGGCUAAACCGAUCAUGUGUGAUAGCCGGCGGGCGUUGCAUGGUCGGGGUUGUGGGACACGUCGCUCAGUUCUGCCGGACUGGGGCGGUUACAGCGCAUCAUAGUCGAACCGGUUUGAAAGCCGGGCCGUAGUGGGUGCCAGCCCCGUAGACGAAAUGGUGUUAUGGCCGGAUGUGUAUCCCAAGUAGCACGGGGCCCGAGAAAUCCCGUGUGAAUCUGUCAGGACCACCUGAUAAGCCUAAAUACUCCCAGAUGACCGAUAGCGGACAAGUACCGUGAGGGAAAGGUGAAAAGUACCCCGGGAGGGGAGUGAAAUAGUACCUGAAACCGUUUGCUUACAAACCGUCGGAGCCUCCUUGUAGGGGUGACGGCGUGCCUUUUGAAGAAUGAGCCUGCGAGUUAGUGAUAUGUGGCGAGGUUAACCCGUGUGGGGCAGCCGUAGCGAAAGCGAGUCUGAAUAGGGCGAUUCAGUCGCAUGUCCUAGACCCGAAGCGAAGUGAUCUAUCCAUGGCCAGGUUGAAGCGACGGUAAGACGUCGUGGAGGACCGAACCCACUUCAGUUGAAAAUGGAGGGGAUGAGCUGUGGAUAGGGG